RNAcentral lists this ribosomal RNA (253 nucleotides) under uncultured bacterium. RNAcentral describes it as "partial 16S ribosomal RNA". It matches the Rfam family "Bacterial small subunit ribosomal RNA", at positions 524 to 776 of the family's 1533-position model. The record is from RNAcentral.
UACGUAGGGUGCGAGCGUUAAUCGGAAUUACUGGGCGUAAAGGGUGCGCAGGCGGCGCCAUAAGACAGCUGUGAAAUCCCCGGGCUUAACCUGGGAACUGCGGUUGUGACUGUGGUGCUUGAGUGCGGCAGAGGGGGGUGGAAUUCCACGUGUAGCAGUGAAAUGCGUAGAGAUGUGGAGGAACACCGAUGGCGAAGGCAGCCCCCUGGGUCGACACUGACGCUCAUGCACGAAAGCGUGGGGAGCAAACAGG